Long non-coding RNA from Oncorhynchus gorbuscha (pink salmon), 490 nucleotides. RefSeq lists it as uncharacterized. Lineage: Eukaryota; Metazoa; Chordata; Actinopteri; Salmoniformes; Salmonidae. The transcript is spliced from 3 exons. The record is from RefSeq and is a predicted model, not a curated record.
CAUGCCAGGUCAUUGGGAUGAAUCCGCCACCUGGAAUUUAACGCCACCCAAUCGGGUAUAUAACAUCAACCACAUCCCUGACAAGAAGACCGCCGACUGAUAAAGCACAUUUACUGAGAGCUGUAUUGUAUGCAUCUAGUUUCGUUUUUUUUGUUAAACUUUAUUCACAAAUUAUACAUUUACGGUGCUCUAGACGAUUGAGGACUGCCUAUUAACUUUGAUUUGUAAAUUGAUUGGAACAGCCUUUAGAUGAUGAUUCCACCCGGGGACUGCUUAUAUGCUGGGAGGAAGAGAAGGAAGCCCAUCCAAAAACAAAAACAGACAGCGGCCAGCCAGAAGAGCAACCCGUCUAAGAGGCACCGUGACCGUCUGAAUGCAGAGCUGGAGCGGUUGGCCAGUCUCCUACCCUUCACCCCAGACAUCAUCUCCAAACUGGACAAGCUCUCAGUGCUGCGCCUCAGCGUCAGCUACCUCCGGGUCAAAAGCUUCU